This 460-nucleotide ribosomal RNA is filed under the name uncultured bacterium. RNAcentral's name for it is "partial 16S ribosomal RNA". It matches the Rfam family "Bacterial small subunit ribosomal RNA", at positions 338 to 795 of the family's 1533-position model. The record is from RNAcentral.
CCUACGGGAGGCAGCAGUGAGGAAUAUUGGUCAAUGGACGCAAGUCUGAACCAGCCAUGCCGCGUGCAGGAAGACGGCUCUAUGAGUUGUAAACUGCUUUUGUACGAGGGUAAACGCAGAUACGCGUAUCUGUCUGAAAGUCUCGUACGAAUAAGGAUCGGCUAACUCCGUGCCAGCAGCCGCGGUAAUACGGAGGAUUCAAGCGUUAUCCGGAUUUAUUGGGUUUAAAGGGUGCGUAGGCGGUCGGAUAAGUUAGAGGUGAAAUCCCGAGGCUCAACUUCGGAAUUGCCUCUGAUACUGUGCGGCUAGAGAGUAGUUGCGGUAGGCGGAAUGUAUGGUGUAGCGGUGAAAUGCUUAGAGAUCAUACAGAACACCGAUUGCGAAGGCAGCUUACCAAUCUAUAUCUGACGUUGAGGCACGAAAGCGUGGGGAGCAAACAGGAUUAGAUACCCCAGUAGUC